GUUCCAACAUGGCGGAGCUGACGGUGGAGGUUCGCGGCUCUAACGGGGCUUUCUACAAGUCAAUUCACAAUGAAUCAAAUGUCCCCAUUUUGGAACUCUGAAGUAUUUAUAAUUGAUCUCUAUACAUAUCUACAAUCUACUGCUUGUUUCUACUUAGACUUUGACUCCAUUACUCAUUUUGCCUCACAAAGUGAGUUGGUACUUUGACAAAGGUUGGAAAGGACACUAGCCACCUGUGUGUGCACUGAAAUCAUGUACGCUUGAACAUUUGGAAUUUUAUGUCCAGCCAUAAUCCACUUGCAUAUGCACUUUGUGGAAACUGUGGUCUUCAGAACUCUGGAAGAAUGAGAAUGGCGGAGUGGAAAAGAGUCCUGGAUUUGAAGUAAACAGAUGAGAAUUCUAGGCAGAAGACACACAUUUGGCCGGAUUUAUCAAAGAUGUUCAUGAAGACUCCCUUACAGUUGUUUUUGAAAAUAAUUGGCAACCAGAACGCCAGGUUCCAUUUAAUGAAGUUAGAUUACCACCACCACCUGAUA
Molecule: long non-coding RNA, 536 nt
Filed under: Homo sapiens (human)
Lineage: Eukaryota; Metazoa; Chordata; Mammalia; Primates; Hominidae
Description: HSALNT0064909
Source: RNAcentral